This 356-nucleotide unclassified non-coding RNA is filed under the name Acacia microsperma. RNAcentral's name for it is "partial contains external transcribed spacer and 18S ribosomal RNA". Lineage: Eukaryota; Viridiplantae; Streptophyta; Magnoliopsida; Fabales; Fabaceae. The record is from RNAcentral.
AACGGUCGGCAGGCGAUCCCCCUCGGUCUCGCGAGGUGGUAUGGUUCCCCAGAGGCCGGUUCUUGUGCUGCCUACCCCUUCAGGGGAAGCUGGCCGCUCGAUGCAAGCCUCCAUCCGGCGCCUUCCAACGGGCGCAGGAGGACAACGGAGCACCCCCCGCGUUCCACCGAUCCAUCUCGGUCGCGUGGCCCGCGGGGACGUGCGAUGCUCUCGGACCCAGCGAACGCCGUGGGCGAGGACUCACGUCCCAGUCCCGAAAUGAAAGCUCCGAUAUAGUGCAUGACGGCCGCCCCCGCCCCCCGACCGCCCCGGCGGCGCGGGGGCGAGGCGCGGCGUCGCGGAGGAAUGCUACCUGG